Molecule: ribosomal RNA, 395 nt
Filed under: uncultured bacterium
Lineage: Bacteria
Description: partial 16S ribosomal RNA
Rfam family: Bacterial small subunit ribosomal RNA
Source: RNAcentral
AUACGUAGGUGGCAAGCGUUGUCCGGAAUUACUGGGCGUAAAGCGUGCGCAGGCGGUUUUGUAAGUCAGGGGUGAAAUCCCCGGGCUCAACCAGGGAAAUGCCAUUGAGACUGCAAGGCUGGAGUGCGGGAGAGGGGGAUGGAAUUCGUCGUGUAGGAGUAAAAUGCGUAGAUAUGCGGAGGAAUACCAAUGGCGAAGGCAAUCCCUGGGGCCUGCCUUGACGCUCAUGCACGAAAGCGUGGGGAGCAAACAGGAUUAGAUCCCCUGGUAGUCCACGCCCUAAACGAUGUCAACUGGUUGUUGGGGAUUUAUUUUCUCAGUAACGAAGCUAACGCGUGAAGUUGACCGCCUGGGGAGUACGGCCGCAAGGUUAAAACUCAAAGGAAUUGACGGGG